AAGUGAGAAGCAACUCUUGCAAUCAGUUUCGACCUGAUCUUAGAUAAAAGUACCUUAUCCUCACUUU
RNAcentral lists this transfer RNA (67 nucleotides) under Procubitermes arboricola. RNAcentral describes it as "tRNA-Arg". Lineage: Eukaryota; Metazoa; Arthropoda; Insecta; Blattodea; Termitidae. The record is from RNAcentral. RNAcentral also lists the same sequence under 1 other name.